AGAGUUUGAUCCUGGCUCAGAACGAACGCUGGCGGCGUGGAUAAGACAUGCAAGUCGAACGCUGAUUGUCGGGUAGCAAUAUUCGGCAGUCGGAGUGGCGCAAGGGUGCGUAACACGUGGGUAAUCUGCCAUGAAGUUUGGGAUAACUCGCUGAAAGGCGAGCUAAUACCGGAUGUGAAAAUUGGAAGGCAUCUUUUGAUUUUCAAAGCUGGGGACCGUAAGGCCUGGCGCUUCUUGAUGAACCCGCGGCCUAUCAGCUAGUUGGUGAGGUAACGGCCCACCAAGGCUAAGACGGGUAGCUGGUCUGAGAGGACGACCAGCCACACUGGAACUGAGACACGGUCCAGACACCUACGGGUGGCAGCAGUCGAGAAUUUUUCACAAUGGGCGCAAGCCUGAUGGAGCGACGCCGCGUGGGGGAUGAAUGGCUUCGGCCCGUAAACCCCUGUCAUUUGCGAACAAACGUUAUUAUUUAAAAGGUGAUGACCUGAUUGUAGCGAAAGAGGAAGGGACGGCUAACUCUGUGCCAGCAGCCGCGGUAAUACAGAGGUCCCAAGCGUUGUUCGGAUUCACUGGGCGUAAAGGGUGCGUAGGUGGCGGGGUAAGUCGGAUGUGAAAUCUCCGAGCUCAACUCGGAAAUGGCAUUGGAAACUACCUUGCUCGAGGGUUGGAGGGGGGACUGGAAUACUUGGUGUAGCAGUGAAAUGCGUAGAUAUCAAGUGGAACACCAGUGGCGAAGGCGAGUCCCUGGACAACUCCCGACACUGAGGCACGAAAGCUAGGGGAGCAAACAGGAUUAGAUACCCUAGUAGUCC
RNAcentral lists this ribosomal RNA (815 nucleotides) under uncultured bacterium. RNAcentral's name for it is "bacterial SSU rRNA". It matches the Rfam family "Bacterial small subunit ribosomal RNA", at positions 8 to 796 of the family's 1533-position model. The record is from RNAcentral.